AGCGAACGCUGGCGGCAGGCUUAACACAUGCAAGUCGAGCGGGCAUCUUCGGGUGUCAGCGGCGGACGGGUGAGUAACGCGUGGGAACGUGCCUUCUGGUUCGGAAUAACUCAGGGAAACUUGAGCUAAUACCGGAUACGCCCUUUUGGGGAAAGGUUUACUGCCGGAAGAUCGGCCCGCGUCUGAUUAGCUAGUUGGUGGGGUAACGGCCUACCAAGGCGACGAUCAGUAGCUGGUCUGAGAGGAUGAUCAGCCACACUGGGACUGAGACACGGCCCAGGCUCAUACGGGAGGCAGCAGUGGGGAAUAUUGGACAAUGGGGGCAACCCUGAUACAGCCAUGCCGCGUGAGUGAUGAAGGCCUUAGGGUUGUAAAGCUCUUUUAUCCGGGACGAUAAUGACGGUACCGGAGGAAUAAGCCCCGGCUAACUUCGUGCCAGCCGCCGCGGUAA
This 451-nucleotide ribosomal RNA is filed under the name uncultured bacterium. Its description in RNAcentral is "partial 16S ribosomal RNA". It matches the Rfam family "Bacterial small subunit ribosomal RNA", at positions 29 to 523 of the family's 1533-position model. The record is from RNAcentral.